This 465-nucleotide ribosomal RNA is filed under the name Vreelandella stevensii. RNAcentral's name for it is "partial 16S ribosomal RNA". It matches the Rfam family "Bacterial small subunit ribosomal RNA", at positions 338 to 795 of the family's 1533-position model. Lineage: Bacteria; Pseudomonadati; Pseudomonadota; Gammaproteobacteria; Oceanospirillales; Halomonadaceae. The record is from RNAcentral.
CCUACGGGUGGCUGCAGUGGGGAAUAUUGGACAAUGGGGGCAACCCUGAUCCAGCCAUGCCGCGUGUGUGAAGAAUGCCCUCGGGUUGUAAAGCACUUUCAGUGAGGAAGAACGCCUGGUGGUUAAUACCCAUCAGGAAAGACAUCACUCACAGAAGAAGCACCGGCUAACUCCGUGCCAGCAGCCGCGGUAAUACGGAGGGUGCGAGCGUUAAUCGGAAUUACUGGGCGUAAAGCGCGCGUAGGUGGCUUGAUAAGCCGGUUGUGAAAGCCCCGGGCUCAACCUGGGAACGGCAUCCGGAACUGUCAAGCUAGAGUGCAGGAGAGGAAGGUAGGAUUCCCGGUGUAGCGGUGAAAUGCGUAGAGAUCGGGAGGAAUACCAGUGGCGAAGGCGGCCUUCUGGACUGACACUGACACUGAGGUGCGAAAGCGUGGGUAGCAAACAGGAUUAGAUACCCGUGUAGUC